Molecule: ribosomal RNA, 21 nt
Filed under: Leptasterias hexactis
Lineage: Eukaryota; Metazoa; Echinodermata; Asteroidea; Forcipulatida; Asteriidae
Also listed under: 2 other names
Description: partial 16S ribosomal RNA
Source: RNAcentral
AAAAAGUGCCUUAAAAACUAC